This 460-nucleotide ribosomal RNA is filed under the name uncultured bacterium. Its description in RNAcentral is "partial 16S ribosomal RNA". It matches the Rfam family "Bacterial small subunit ribosomal RNA", at positions 338 to 795 of the family's 1533-position model. The record is from RNAcentral.
CCUACGGGUGGCAGCAGUGCGGAAUAUUGGUCAAUGGCCGAGAGGCUGAACCAGCCAAUUCGCGUGAGGGCAGACUGUCCUAUGUAUUGUAAACCUCUUUUGUCAGGGAGCAAAGUCACCCACGUGUGGGUGUUGGAGAGUCCCUGAAGAAAAAGCAUCGGCUAACUCCGUGCCCGCAGCCGCGGUAAUACGUAGGGUGCAAGCGUUAUCCGGAUUUACUGGGUGUAAAGGGAGCGUAGACGGCGAUGUAAGUCUGAAGUGAAAGGCGGGGGCCCAAACCCUGGACUGCCUUGGAAACUGGAUGGCUGGAGUGCAGGAGAGGUAAGCGGAAUUCCUAGGGUAGCGGUGAAAUGCGUAGAUAUCAGGAAGAACACCAGUGGCGAAGGCGGCUUACCGGACCGUAACUGACGCUGAGGCUCGAAAGCGUGGGGAGCAAACAGGAUUAGAUACCCGGGUAGUC